UUAUAAGAGACAGCAGUAGCCGCGGUAAUACAGAGGGUGCGAGCGUUAAUCGGAUUUACUGGGCGUAAAGCGUGCGUAGGCGGCUUUUUAAGUCGGAUGUGAAAUCCCUGAGCUUAACUUAGGAAUUGCAUUCGAUACUGGGAAGCUAGAGUAUGGGAGAGGAUGGUAGAAUUCCAGGUGUAGCGGUGAAAUGCGUAGAGAUCUGGAGGAAUACCGAUGGCGAAGGCAGCCAUCUGGCCUAAUACUGACGCUGAGGUACGAAAGCAUGGGGAGCAAACAGGAUUAGAUACCCCCGUAGUCCCUGUCUCUUAUAC
Molecule: ribosomal RNA, 314 nt
Filed under: uncultured bacterium
Lineage: Bacteria
Description: partial 16S ribosomal RNA
Rfam family: Bacterial small subunit ribosomal RNA
Source: RNAcentral